AUGGCAGCACCCAGCGCAACGCCAAAUAUACGGUGUGAGAUGGAGAACGUGGCGCUCAGCUGUGGUUUCUUCAGAGGAAGAUGGGGAGACAGUGGGCGGUUCGCAACAGGAGCAGACAGGGGACGACUUGUAUGUAGGGAUCGGUUUCCAGAUGGAGGCAUCUUCUGUCGCAGAGCUCCUAAGGGAGAAGAUGUGUAG
This 198-nucleotide ribosomal RNA is filed under the name Triticum aestivum (bread wheat). RNAcentral describes it as "partial small subunit ribosomal RNA". The record is from RNAcentral. Lineage: Eukaryota; Viridiplantae; Streptophyta; Magnoliopsida; Poales; Poaceae.